AUCGCAUACGAGGAAUGUAUUGCAUCGAAUCAUAGUAGUUUUAGAGAUACGAGUCGGGCAAAUGUUCAAAGUAUUUAAUCGACGAUACUCUAACGAUACUUGGAGAUUCAUUCUGCUAAGAGAAAGUUGGGCGAGAGAAAGAAAAAAUUAAUUUCACAAUAAUGAAAAUGGUGUGUGGGCCAGAUAAAAAAAAAAUGUAAUUAAUAUCGGUUGAUGGUGUUAAUUAAAAAAGCCAGGAACAAAACGUUCCUGCCGAGGCCAGCGAAGAAACGGGCAUUUCCACGCUCCGCCAUCGUGGAGAAUCGGGAUUCAAUUCGAUUACGUCGUAACGUUCUUGUGAUUGAUACCGGUCAUUAACCGCAUUCGUGACGUAAUUAAUGGGAAUCCGUAAAACGACGAGGAAGUAAAAAAAGGAAGUAAAAAAUUGGCGGAGCGGCGUGAAAACAUGUUGUAAACUGUUAAUUGUUCGAAAAGAUGGCGAUCGAAGAGAUUAUUGCAAAAGUUAAUUAAUCUCGAUACCACAAGGUAAUUUUGUAAAUUAAAUAAUAAGAAAUAUAUUUUCAAACUCAAUCAAAA
This is a long non-coding RNA of Apis laboriosa (Himalayan honeybee), 576 nucleotides long. RefSeq lists it as uncharacterized. Lineage: Eukaryota; Metazoa; Arthropoda; Insecta; Hymenoptera; Apidae. The record is from RefSeq and is a predicted model, not a curated record. The transcript has 2 exons.